Molecule: long non-coding RNA, 2761 nt
Filed under: Amborella trichopoda
Lineage: Eukaryota; Viridiplantae; Streptophyta; Magnoliopsida; Amborellales; Amborellaceae
Description: long non-coding RNA (ATRI_LNC002432)
Source: RNAcentral
CAAGGGUAACUUAUCAAAACACACCUAAAAUAUCAAUUAUUUAACAUUUUAGAUUCCAUGCCCCUCUCAAUUGACAAAUGAAAUAAUUAGCAUCCCAUUAUCAACAAACAACAUCGAUUUGAGUAGAGUAGACAAGCAAGGAAAUUCCUUUGCUUUAUCCCAUCAUCAACAAACAAUAUCUAUUUGAGUACACAAGUAAGGAAAUUCCUUUGCUUUUAGGGUCUUAGUUCUCAAGUUCCAAGAUUGAGAGCCUUGGUUCUCUUCUAUACAAACUAAUUAUUUUGUGAAACAGUAAUGGAAUCGUAACUAAACAAUAUUAGUAAUGGAAUCUCAAUCUGAAACUAAAAACAAUAUUAGUAAUGGAAUCUUAAUCUGUAACUAAACAAUAUUAGUUAUGGAAUCUCAAUCUAUAACUAAACAAUAUUCGUAAUGGAAUCUCAACCGGUAACUAAAUACAAUAUUAGUAAUAGAUAAUCUGUAACUAGCUGCGGUAUGGGGUUGGGAAAUCCCAAUAGAAAGUCAAAUCGAUAUCUAUUUGCCUGUAACUAAUAUCAUAUAAUGAUACCUUCAUGCGUAUUCAUGACAUCACCAACGAGAAUCCAAAUACUUGUUCCAUAUAAGUUGUCUGCAUGGGUGCUUUGGCACUGGAGAGGCCAGAGUCAGCUAAACUUUUAAACUCUCUUCAAAAGGUAUUCUAUGCAAAAGUCGAUAAAGCAAAGGAGUCAAGAGAGAAUGGAAUUCACCAUGUUAGAGGUUCUUUUCAUGUUUUUGCAAAUAAAAAGUCCAAUUUGUGAAGAAAAUUGAGUUACAUGAAGAUUCACAUUGCAAUACUACAACUUUUAUCUUGCUUCCAUAAUAGAAAGAUAAACUUGCAGAUAGAAAGAAAUUUACAAUUUUUAUCUUCUUUCCAUACAGAGAGAAAACAGUUUUACAAUCUUUAUCCUGUUUCCAUAAUGAAAUGAGAAAGCUUUUUAACUGUUACAUAAAAAAUACAAAGAAGAUUUAAGUUUUUCUUUACCUUGUUUCCAAAAUAAAAUUUCUAAAGGAGAAGCUUCUUAACUAGAUUUCUAGAAACUAUUGGCUCGCUCAACAAUUGUCCUCAACCAUUAAUGGUUAAUAAGACUUUGGAGGAGAUUGAACUCCUAUUUAUCUAUAUCUAUAUUUAUACUACAUUAUAUAUUUUUAUUAUUAUUUUACAUUAUUAAGCCACAUUUAAAGGUAGACACACAUUUCGCAAGAAUAAAAGAGGACCUAUCUUUAGAGAAUGUAGGUUCGGUGCCUAUGAAUAGAAGGAUUUUAGAAUAGGGUAUGUUUCUAAUUUUUAAACAAAGAAUAUAAUAGGACGUGGUAAUCAAUCGGAUGAAAAAACUCUUGCCUGGGAAAAGGGCUUUGGUCGUGGUGAUAGCACCCCACACCCUAGUUAUUAUGUUGUGGUUUAUAUUCCCACCGCUAAUACCACCGACUAAUACCUUCAUAAAGCUAAUUCCUAAUCUACUUAAAAAAACGGGUAGGAGCCAAUCUUCCCCAUUGAAUUACUCAAAAAAAAAAACACUUUUGCUUAUGUGCAACGCAAGCAAUCCGACUAGUGAAAGUUAAACCCACAAGUAAAUAGUUAUUCAAAAGUGGAACUUCGAACUACUGAUAACACACAUCAACAAAAAAAAAAAGAAAGUGAUAAGUUAUUCAAAAGUGGAACUUCGAACUACUCAUAACACACAUCAAAAAAAAAAAAAAGUUGUGUGGGGACUUGGAAAGUAACCAGUACAAAAACACCUCUCUCAAAAUGGGAAAAACAAAAAACUCAAAAGUUUUGGACCUCACUACAAAAUGUCUAAAAAUAUUGACUAUUUUUUAAUUUCCAAAAUUAUUUUGGGUCCGUUCAUAAACUUCACAAAAAUUAAAGUAAAAUAGACAAAAGUUUCGAUUUCUAUUAAUAAUAAAUGAAAUAGGCAAGAAUUAGAAAAAGGAAGUCUAAUAACAAGAAUGGUUCAAUCUUAGGAAGAAGACAAGUAAAAAGAACUAACAUGAAGUAAAAUGACCAACAGAAAAAGAAGAUUACCUUAUCUUCUUCUCAUCAGUUAGGUACCAUAUGAAAAAAAUACUAAAAUAAUAUCUUCAAGAUUUCAAUAUCUGGUUAUUAGGGAAAAACUGGAUGUAUGUUGACUGAAUUUAAAAGGAAACUAGAAAUUGUUAAAAAUUAAAAAGGGUAAAAACUUGUUAAAAUCAGUUAAUAAAAAACAAAAAUUAAAGGAACUAAUGGAGUCAUUAAAAAACUACAAAAUAUGACAAAAAAUACAUGGAUUAUUUAAAAAUUUGUGUCAUACCAUGAAUAAUUCAGAAAAAAAAAAAAUUCCUAAGAUAAGAAAACUUCCCAAAUAAUCCUAAAACCCUCAAAAUCAUUUAAAAAUAUAUCUCUAACUUUUUAUUUUAACAUUUAUUUUAUAUUUUUAACAUUUUUUUUUAUGCCCUGGCGAGUUGCUGUGGAACUCAGCCCAAUUCGGCCUCAGGCCAAGUGGCCCGGCCGAGUAGCAUAGAGAGAUUAAGAAAAAUUUGCGUAUGUGUGACAGAGAGAGAAGAAAAACAAAUAUAGAAAUAAGAAAAAUAUAUAUAAAAGAAAAGAGUAAUAAAAACUUACAAGGUUGUUGUUAUUGCUGCUUCUCACUGCUUUGAGAUACAAUUGAACUUGUUUGUUUUGUUUAUACAGGGGUUUUAUUGAGCAGUUAGUAGGGAAUUAGAAUUCUACUUCAAAUAUAAAUCACAG